RNAcentral lists this ribosomal RNA (463 nucleotides) under uncultured bacterium. Its description in RNAcentral is "partial 16S ribosomal RNA". It matches the Rfam family "Bacterial small subunit ribosomal RNA", at positions 28 to 507 of the family's 1533-position model. The record is from RNAcentral.
GACGAACGCUGGCGGCGUGCCUAACACAUGCAAGUCGAGCGGGGGGAGUUCUUCGGAACGAACCUAGCGGCGGACGGGUGAGUAACACGUGGGCAACCUGCCUUGAGGAGGGGGAUAACAGGAUGAAAGUCCUGCUAAUACCGCAUAACCCGGUGCUGUCGCAUGAUGGCAUCGGCAAAGGAGCUAUCCGCCUCAAGAUGGGCCCGCGGCGCAUUAGCUAGUUGGUGGGGUAACGGCCUACCAAGGCGACGAUGCGUAGCCGACCUGAGAGGGUGAUCGGCCACAUUGGAACUGAGACACGGACCAGACUCCUACGGGAGGCAGCGGUGGGGAAUAUUGCGCAAUGGGAGAAAGCCUGAUGCAGCAACGCCGCGUGAGCGAGGAAGGCAGUCGGGUUGUAAAGAUCUGUGUUCGAUGACGAAAUCUGACGGUAAGCGAGGAGAAAGCCACGGCUAACUACGUG